UUAAGCGACUAAGCGUACACGGUGGAUGCCCUGGCAGUCAGAGGCGAUGAAGGACGUGCUAAUCUGCGAUAAGCGUCGGUAAGGUGAUAUGAACCGUUAUAACCGGCGAUUUCCGAAUGGGGAAACCCAGUGUGUUUCGACACACUAUCAUUAACUGAAUCCAUAGGUUAAUGAGGCGAACCGGGGGAACUGAAACAUCUAAGUACCCCGAGGAAAAGAAAUCAACCGAGAUUCCCCCAGUAGCGGCGAGCGAACGGGGAGGAGCCCAGAGCCUGAAUCAGUGUGUGUGUUAGUGGAAGCGUCUGGAAAGGCGCGCGAUACAGGGUGACAGCCCCGUACACAAAAAUGCACAUGCUGUGAGCUCGAUGAGUAGGGCGGGACACGUGGUAUCCUGUCUGAAUAUGGGGGGACCAUCCUCCAAGGCUAAAUACUCCUGACUGACCGAUAGUGAACCAGUACCGUGAGGGAAAGGCGAAAAGAACCCCGGCGAGGGGAGUGAAAAAGAACCUGAAACCGUGUACGUACAAGCAGUGGGAGCCUCUUUUAUGGGGUGACUGCGUACCUUUUGUAUAAUGGGUCAGCGACUUAUAUUCUGUAGCAAGGUUAACCGAAUAGGGGAGCCGAAGGGAAACCGAGUCUUAACUGGGCGUUAAGUUGCAGGGUAUAGACCCGAAACCCGGUGAUCUAGCCAUGGGCAGGUUGAAGGUUGGGUAACACUAACUGGAGGACCGAACCGACUAAUGUUGAAAAAUUAGCGGAUGACUUGUGGCUGGGGGUGAAAGGCCAAUCAAACCGGGAGAUAGCUGGUUCUCCCCGAAAGCUAUUUAGGUAGCGCCUCGUGAAUUCAUCUCCGGGGGUAGAGCACUGUUUCGGCAAGGGGGUCAUCCCGACUUACCAACCCGAUGCAAACUGCGAAUACCGGAGAAUGUUAUCACGGGAGACACACGGCGGGUGCUAACGUCCGUCGUGAAGAGGGAAACAACCCAGACCGCCAGCUAAGGUCCCAAAGUCAUGGUUAAGUGGGAAACGAUGUGGGAAGGCCCAGACAGCCAGGAUGUUGGCUUAGAAGCAGCCAUCAUUUAAAGAAAGCGUAAUAGCUCACUGGUCGAGUCGGCCUGCGCGGAAGAUGUAACGGGGCUAAACCAUGCACCGAAGCUGCGGCAGCGACGCUUAUGCGUUGUUGGGUAGGGGAGCGUUCUGUAAGCCUGUGAAGGUGUGCUGUGAGGCAUGCUGGAGGUAUCAGAAGUGCGAAUGCUGACAUAAGUAACGAUAAAGCGGGUGAAAAGCCCGCUCGCCGGAAGACCAAGGGUUCCUGUCCAACGUUAAUCGGGGCAGGGUGAGUCGACCCCUAAGGCGAGGCCGAAAGGCGUAGUCGAUGGGAAACAGGUUAAUAUUCCUGUACUUGGUGUUACUGCGAAGGGGGGACGGAGAAGGCUAUGUUGGCCGGGCGACGGUUGUCCCGGUUUAAGCGUGUAGGCUGGUUUUCCAGGCAAAUCCGGAAAAUCAAGGCUGAGGCGUGAUGACGAGGCACUACGGUGCUGAAGCAACAAAUGCCCUGCUUCCAGGAAAAGCCUCUAAGCAUCAGGUAACAUCAAAUCGUACCCCAAACCGACACAGGUGGUCAGGUAGAGAAUACCAAGGCGCUUGAGAGAACUCGGGUGAAGGAACUAGGCAAAAUGGUGCCGUAACUUCGGGAGAAGGCACGCUGAUAUGUAGGUGAAGCGACUUGCUCGUGGAGCUGAAAUCAGUCGAAGAUACCAGCUGGCUGCAACUGUUUAUUAAAAACACAGCACUGUGCAAACACGAAAGUGGACGUAUACGGUGUGACGCCUGCCCGGUGCCGGAAGGUUAAUUGAUGGGGUCAGCGCAAGCGAAGCUCUUGAUCGAAGCCCCGGUAAACGGCGGCCGUAACUAUAACGGUCCUAAGGUAGCGAAAUUCCUUGUCGGGUAAGUUCCGACCUGCACGAAUGGCGUAAUGAUGGCCAGGCUGUCUCCACCCGAGACUCAGUGAAAUUGAACUCGCUGUGAAGAUGCAGUGUACCCGCGGCAAGACGGAAAGACCCCGUGAACCUUUACUAUAGCUUGACACUGAACAUUGAGCCUUGAUGUGUAGGAUAGGUGGGAGGCUUUGAAGUGUGGACGCCAGUCUGCAUGGAGCCGACCUUGAAAUACCACCCUUUAAUGUUUGAUGUUCUAACGUUGACCCGUAAUCCGGGUUGCGGACAGUGUCUGGUGGGUAGUUUGACUGGGGCGGUCUCCUCCUAAAGAGUAACGGAGGAGCACGAAGGUUGGCUAAUCCUGGUCGGACAUCAGGAGGUUAGUGCAAUGGCAUAAGCCAGCUUGACUGCGAGCGUGACGGCGCGAGCAGGUGCGAAAGCAGGUCAUAGUGAUCCGGUGGUUCUGAAUGGAAGGGCCAUCGCUCAACGGAUAAAAGGUACUCCGGGGAUAACAGGCUGAUACCGCCCAAGAGUUCAUAUCGACGGCGGUGUUUGGCACCUCGAUGUCGGCUCAUCACAUCCUGGGGCUGAAGUAGGUCCCAAGGGUAUGGCUGUUCGCCAUUUAAAGUGGUACGCGAGCUGGGUUUAGAACGUCGUGAGACAGUUCGGUCCCUAUCUGCCGUGGGCGCUGGAGAACUGAGGGGGGCUGCUCCUAGUACGAGAGGACCGGAGUGGACGCAUCACUGGUGUUCGGGUUGUCAUGCCAAUGGCACUGCCCGGUAGCUAAAUGCGGAAGAGAUAAGUGCUGAAAGCAUCUAAGCACGAAACUUGCCCCGAGAUGAGUUCUCCCUGACUCCUUGAGAGUCCUGAAGGAACGUUGAAGACGACGACGUUGAUAGGCCGGGUGUGUAAGCGCAGCGAUGCGUUGAGCUAACCGGUACUAAUGAACCGUGAGGCUUAACCUU
RNAcentral lists this ribosomal RNA (2902 nucleotides) under Escherichia coli. RNAcentral's name for it is "23S ribosomal RNA". It matches the Rfam family "Bacterial large subunit ribosomal RNA". Lineage: Bacteria; Pseudomonadati; Pseudomonadota; Gammaproteobacteria; Enterobacterales; Enterobacteriaceae. RNAcentral also lists the same sequence under 1 other name. The record is from RNAcentral.